RNAcentral lists this ribosomal RNA (468 nucleotides) under uncultured bacterium. RNAcentral's name for it is "partial 16S ribosomal RNA". It matches the Rfam family "Bacterial small subunit ribosomal RNA", at positions 28 to 507 of the family's 1533-position model. The record is from RNAcentral.
GACGAACGCUGGCGGCGUGCUUAUCACAUGCAAGUCGAACGGAAAGGCCCUGCUUUUGUGGGGUGCUCGAGUGGCGAACGGGUGAGUAACACGUGAGUAACCUGCCCUUGACUUUGGGAUAACUUCAGGAAACUGGGGCUAAUACCGGAUAGGAGCUCCUGCUGCAUGGUGGGGGUUGGAAAGUUUCGGCGGUUGGGGAUGGACUCGCGGCUUAUCAGCUUGUUGGUGGGGUAGUGGCUUACCAAGGCUUUGACGGGUAGCCGGCCUGAGAGGGUGACCGGCCACAUUGGGACUGAGGUACGGCCCAGACUCCUACGGGAGGCAGCAGUGGGGAAUAUUGCACAAUGGGCGGAAGCCUUAUGCAGCAACGCCGCGUGCGGGAUGACGGCCUUCGGGUUGUAAACCGCUUUCGCCUGUGACGAAGCGUGAGUGACGGUAAUGGGUAAAGAAGCACCGGCUAACUACGUG